GAUCAUUCAACCCUGACCUUUGGCCUCCUCUGCAUAUUCCCCAAACGAAGAAGUUCAAAAUUGCCUUCCUUUCAUCAGAUUCGAAUUCAUCAUUUCCUUAACUUCACCAGGUGGCUCAUGUGUCAGCCUUCUCUACUGGACUAUUUUAUAGAAGUGUCAAGCUCAAAUGCCUUAAGAUACUACAACCUUCCUUAUCAAUCAGUUUGAUGUUUCAAUAUUGUAAUUGAACAACUUGCAGAUUCCUGAGCUUUUGACAUUUUUAAUGGUUUAUCUUUGGUUCUUUGUUUCAUUUUGUUGGUUGCUAAUUAGAUUUGAAAUUGACAUUUUUUUUUCAUACCAAUCAAGUCAAGAUCUUACCACAAGAGGUUUCAAGUCAAAUUUUAGCGAAUGAGAGGUAUGAAUAUAUUUGUAAUCUGUCAUAUCUUUUAUUUCCUUAAGCUACCUUUUGUUGGCCUUUUACACCUUUUUUAGGAACCAAAUGUAAGACAUCCAUCGUUUUCCACUUGGAAGUAGGAUUUUUAUGUGUUUAGGUUUCCAAAUUUUACAAACCUCUAACAAUAUGAAUGGCACCGUUUACCUUCAAGAUCCUUUACAUUUAUGUAUUCUAAUUCUUAUCUUUUCUAGACUUCAAGAUCUUUUACAUUUAUGGUUAUGAUCUUUUACCGGCUCUCCUACAACUAACUUUGAAGAAUGGAAUCCCUUUUUUCAAACUUGUGGUGGAGAGCAGCAUCGACAUUCUAGCUGAUGUUGUCAAAAAGUUACCAUUUGGGAAGGAUGAUUCAAGCUUGAUUUAUGCAUUCUACUUUAUACACGAGAACAAGAAGAAGCAUGGAGGUUGGAUAACCAAGGCAGAUGAGAAAACACUUGAUUGCAUGCUAGAUGGGGAGGUAGCUGCUAUAAUUGUGAAGAUUCCAAGUGAUGAAAUCUGUGGAGAUAUAGGGAACUCGAAUAGCACGGUGGUUAUUCUCCCUGAUGGUGCUCAUAGUCUACCAAACGGUGGAUGACCUUCUUCAUUGAUAAACCGAUGGAGAUCUGGUGAAGUAUGUGAUUGUGGAGGCUGGAUAUCGGUUGCUAAUUUCAUGUUCUCAGUCAUCAAAAUGAAAUCCCAACUCCCUCAAAUCGUCUCGACCUUUGUCACGAGGGUUUCACUGUGCAAAAUUAGCCUGGUUUCACUUGAAGAUGGACUUUACUCGCUUGAAUAUGAUCCGUCAAUGUCUUUGCUUCAAGCAUUCUACAUAUGUGUAGCAGUUGUAAGUAGCCAGAAGUUGACUCGCUCGCAUCCUUUACAUUUAUGGUUAUGAACUCUAACCACAAAGCAUUUUGGUUGUUCAUGUUUUCUACUUCAAAUUGUUUCCCA
Molecule: long non-coding RNA, 1357 nt
Organism: Cynara cardunculus var. scolymus (artichoke)
Lineage: Eukaryota; Viridiplantae; Streptophyta; Magnoliopsida; Asterales; Asteraceae
Exons: 4
Source: RefSeq, a predicted model, not a curated record